RNAcentral lists this ribosomal RNA (463 nucleotides) under Babesia venatorum (nom. ined.). RNAcentral describes it as "SSU rRNA". It matches the Rfam family "Eukaryotic small subunit ribosomal RNA", at positions 514 to 1027 of the family's 1831-position model. The record is from RNAcentral. Lineage: Eukaryota; Apicomplexa; Aconoidasida; Piroplasmida; Babesiidae.
AUGAUGGUGACCUAAACCCUCACCAGAGUAACAAUUGGAGGGCAAGUCUGGUGCCAGCAGCCGCGGUAAUUCCAGCUCCAAUAGCGUAUAUUAAACUUGUUGCAGUUAAAAAGCUCGUAGUUGAAUUUCUGCGUUAUCGAGUUAUUGACUCUUGUCUUUAAUCGAUUUCGCUUUUGGGAUUUAUCCCUUUUUACUUUGAGAAAAUUAGAGUGUUUCAAGCAGACUUUUGUCUUGAAUACUUCAGCAUGGAAUAAUAGAGUAGGACUUUGGUUCUAUUUUGUUGGUUUUUGAACCUUAGUAAUGGUUAAUAGGAACGGUUGGGGGCAUUCGUAUUUAACUGUCAGAGGUGAAAUUCUUAGAUUUGUUAAAGACGAACUACUGCGAAAGCAUUUGCCAAGGACGUUUCCAUUAAUCAAGAACGAAAGUUAGGGGAUCGAAGACGAUCAGAUACCGUCGUAGUCCU